RNAcentral lists this non-coding RNA (25 nucleotides) under Homo sapiens (human). Lineage: Eukaryota; Metazoa; Chordata; Mammalia; Primates; Hominidae. The record is from RNAcentral. RNAcentral also lists the same sequence under 2 other names.
AUUUCCGUGGAGAGGAACAAUUCUG